This is a long non-coding RNA of Homo sapiens (human), 431 nucleotides long. The record is from Ensembl. Lineage: Eukaryota; Metazoa; Chordata; Mammalia; Primates; Hominidae.
AUUGUUGACCAGAUUGGCUGUGGGGAGGUCAGGGUCAUCAGUGCAGCAAGUGGUAAGGUUGGGUUGUCAGUACAGCUGACCUCACGCAAUUGGUUGAAGCCUCAGAGUUAUUGAAAUCCCAGGCCAAAGAACUCAAAGAUGCCCAUCAGCAGCAAAAGCUGGCCCUGCAGGACUUCUUGGAGCUCUGUGAGCUGGUAGCAGAGCUCUGCUCCCAGAAGCAGAAGGUGUGGGACAAGGAGGGGGAGAUGGAGGUGGCCAUGCAGAAAGUCAACACGAUGUGGCAGGAGAGCUGAAGAUCCAAGAAGCUCAGAAAGAGGAAGCUAUUUAUAUGGUUCAGUGAUGGUAUUGAUUGGACUUUUUAAAAUGUUUCAUUAUUACACUUUAAGUUCUGGGGUACUUUGUAUGACCUUAAUAAAACAUCUUUGAGGCCG